Molecule: long non-coding RNA, 3563 nt
Organism: Rosa chinensis
Lineage: Eukaryota; Viridiplantae; Streptophyta; Magnoliopsida; Rosales; Rosaceae
Exons: 2
Source: RefSeq, a predicted model, not a curated record
AGAAGCUUCUUCUCGCUUCGUGAACACAGAGUCUCAUCUUUCGCCACUCACCGACGCUGCCCAAAACCAGUCUCAUCUUUCUUUCCCUCUCAUUGUCACCUCUGAUUAUUAUCAUGGGUUGAGGAAGGAGUAUCAGAAUCUUUUCCUCCGCUCUCAAAUUUGAUGUCUGCUAACAGAGCUUUGGAAAUCAAUAGAUCCCUGUGUAAAAACGUCUCUCUUCUCUCUGUCUUCUCAAUAGAGCUAUGAUGUUACUCGAUGGCGGUAAUAUAAGGUGUUUAUUUUGGUCUAUGCGUAUGCGACGGUAAGGUUAGCUUUUGCUUAAAUUGGUAUUUGUAAAGGAUUGAUUGUGGUUAGCGUAAUCCUGCUCAGGGUGUUACUGCAAUUGAGUGUUAUUCACAGGUGAAGUUCAUCAGAAUGUUCUUUGUGUGACUUUAUUUAAUAAGUUGCUCAAGAAAAUUUACUACGAAAUUUGGUUGAUACCAAUGCCAAGUUCGGUAUUAGACUGUUUUGUCAUUAUACACACUCAAGCUAAGAUGAGACAAGAACAAAUAAAUUGGUAGUUCAAAGUUCAUUGAUGUUGGAAACAUGGCUUCUCCCACAAUUUUUGUCCGUCGUAGUUUGUUUUAUCUCAUGGAUGAGAUGCCUCUGGAUGCUUUAAACGAUGCAAUGCAAGCUCAAGUAAUUUCCCCAAUAAGGCACAUUGCAUCUUAUCUACAGGCUGCUGCCCUUUUUGCACUCGGAAUGGAGACUGAGGCGCAAUCAGCACUGAAGGAGGGUAAGUGCUUGAAACCAAAAGGAACACUGUAGCUGGACUCAAGUGAAAAAUCAAGGCUCAGGUACCAAAUCAGACACUACUUAGUUUUGCUCUCAACAUAUAUAGGUGUUAACAGAAAGUCCCAAACAAGGGAAGUCAAAGCUUCAUUCUUUACCAUGAUGUUUUAUAUAUGUUGAGUGCUUUAUUUAAUGUGAUCCCUUUGUCUCUAAAUGAUUCCACUAUACAAAUUGAAAAACAUUGAAUUAAAAAGUUGUAGGAGACAAUUGGAGGAAAAGAUGCAUGUAGUUCAGAAGCAUGUAAUUUAUGUACAGAUACAACUCCUAUUAAUUCUUUCUGGUGAAAAACAGUUCGAUUCAAGAAAGGAGCUUGAGUGUUGCAGUCCAUAAUUAAUAUGUAUUUAUAUAGUUAUUGAUAUUGUUGUUUAAACUAUAUACUGCAGAGAUGUUUGACAUAGACUAGCUAGAAUAGUUAUAUGCAAGGCAAACAGUUGACUGGAGAGUUCUCCAACAAGUUCCUACAGCAACAGUAGAAAUCAUUUAAUAAAAGAAAAUUUCUGGUAAUGAAUAAAUUGGAAGAAUUUAUGUGAGAGAGAGUGGAAAGAAUUGGAGGAGGCAGAUCAGAUCCCCAUUAAUGUCAAGUUUCUUAGAUUAGGGAGCUUGUUUAUUGUUUCCAGCCAAUCAGAAGUCUUAGAUCGGCCCAAGUCAGGUCCAGGUAUUUUAAAGAAGAAAGACGAGGGAGCCAAUUGUGGUUUUCUACAACCUAAGUGAAGCUUCAGAGUAGGUGUUAACAGAUCUAGAUUCUGCAAGUAAGGUUUCCAAGUGGAUGAUGUGGAAUUUCACAGCUUAAGACAGCGUUAGAGUGAUCUAGAUAUCUUAAAAUGGUCAGAUUACCAAUGAGCUCUGGAAUUUUGUUCCCGGUGAAGUCAUUGGAGUUGAGAUCUAGGUGUCUUAAAUUGGACAUAGAGCAAAUGAGCGCUGGAAUUUGGCCCCUAUUGAAGUCAUUAUGACUGAGGUCCAAAUAUUCCAACUACUACAACUCGAUGAGUUUAAGACUGCCUUUACUUUUAAAAAACUCACCUUGUGGAGAGACUCCUCCAAGAUGAAGUUGAAUGAUAAGGUGGGUCAGGGGAUCACAGUAGACUCCUCCUUCCCAGCUGCAAUAGUCUUGAUUUUCGGCUUCGCUGCCGAAUGAAGAAAGUCAGAUGUAGUCAUCCUUCAGGUCUUGUUUGAUAGCUAGGAGUGCAUCCCUCUCCCUCUCCACGCACUCUGUCGUCACGUUAACAUGGUGUUCACUGAGGGAUAAGGAAGCGUUGAUAUUGCAAGACAUGUUUCAAGCACCUUCUGGCCUCCAUAAUAACAAUUAAAUAAAAACGAGACUAUUUGAGACGAUAGAAGAAGCUCACGCCAUACAAGUAUUUAUAUGGCUGUCCAUACAAGUAUUUAUAUGGCUGUCUAUUCUUCAACAGUAGAUUAAUUUAGACCUUCUUGUUGUGCAUUAGAAUUUUUAACAGUGAUCAUGCCAACAGUUGCCUUCACUUGCAAUUCAUUGAUGUUGGAAACAUGGUAAGCUCAAGUAACUUCCCUAAUAUGGCACAUUGCAUCUCAUCUUCAGGCUGUUGCCCUUUCUCCACUCGGAUUGGAGAAUGAAGCACAAUCAGCACUGGAGGAAUUAAGUUUGAAGCCAAAAGGAAUACUGCUGGUGGACAUAAGCGAGAAUAAAGGCUUAGGUACUAAAUGUGACACUUAUGAUUCCAACAUAUAUAGGUUCAACACAAGGUUCCAAACGAGGGAAGUUGAGGCUUCACACAUUAUGGUGAUGUUUGAUAUGUGUCAAGUAUUUUCCAGUGCGCUAGUUUGUAGUUGAAUCUUUAUUUAAUUUGUUUGACCCUUAUACAGAUAACUUUGAAAAAACAUUCCAAACUAAUAAUAAUCCAAUGUUGAUAUAAGUAGAUCACUUAGGGUUGUUUUCUCUCGUCUCUCCCGAGGAACAGCCGCCACUUCCAUUUUCUUCUCUCCGUCCGACGGCGCGUCGCCUUGAUGUCGUCGUCGGACGGGUCUCCUUGGUUUCCUGCUAUUCUGCUCCCCCUUCGGGUUGGGUAGUGAGAGUGGCGCCCUGGAUCGGGUCCGAUCUGGAGCAUCUAGCGACUUUUGAGACGAUGGUUGAGGUCAUGCACGCUGGGUUCGAGCGGUGGAGGAGGUGGAUGUCGGACUCGUCUGGUUUCACAGUGGUCUGCUCCGGGUCGUGUGGUUGCUGCUCCUUUCGGUUUGGCUGGAACUUGAAGGACGAUGGCUUCUUCCUUCUUUUCUGGUAUGGAUCGAUGUGGUGGGUGCAAGUGGCGUUGAUGGUCGACGGCGAGUACUCCGGCGGGCAUCCAGGCGGGUUUGGCCAGGUUCAUGGUUUGCGGCUGAUGUACGUGUUGGGCCUCAUCUUGGGUCUCUGUUGCUGGGCUAGGGCAGGGUCUGCUUUGUUGGGCUUUGUUUCUUUAGGGUUUUUAAUCUAGGUUUUUUAGAUUUAAGCUAGCAUUUUUUUCUUUUUUCUUUGAGCCUCUGCUUUAAGAAUAAUAUUGGGGAAGGGUCUUGGCUGCGUUCGGAUCCUCCCUAGUAGUGUCAAGGUUACUUGAAUCAUUGGAGCUUAAUCCUAUGGUUACAUUAUGUUUGAGUAGUCUAGGGCUUGCUUUAGGUUGUUCAUUCAUGGCUCUCUUCUGUCGUUGCCCGGAGUCCGAGUGAGUCAUUUGUAAUGUUUCUUACUUUACUAUUAAUGGACUGACACCCCACGUGUUCAAAAAAAA